CGGCAGGGCUACACAUGCAAGUCGAGCGGUAGAGAGAAGCUUGCUUCUCUUGAGAGCGGCGGACGGGUGAGUAAUGCCUAGGAAUCUGCCUAGUGGUGGGGGAUAACGUUCGGAAACGGACGCUAAUACCGCAUACGUCCUACGGGAGAAAGCGGGGGAUCUUCGGACCUCGCGCCAUUAGAUGAGCCUAGGUCGGAUUAGCUAGUUGGUGAGGUAAUGGCUCACCAAGGCGACGAUCCGUAACUGGUCUGAGAGGAUGAUCAGUCACACUGGAACUGAGACACGGUCCAGACUCCUACGGGAGGCAGCAGUGGGGAAUAUUGGACAAUGGGCGAAAGCCUGAUCCAGCCAUGCCGCGUGUGUGAAGAAGGUCUUCGGAUUGUAAAGCACUUUAAGUUGGGAGGAAGGGCAGUAACCUAAUACGUUAUUGUUUUGACGUUACCGACAGAAUAAGCACCGGCUAACUUCGUGCCAGCAGCCGCGGUAAUACGAAGGGUGCAAGCGUUAAUCGGAAUUACUGGGCGUAAAGCGCGCGUAGGUGGUUCAGUAAGUUGGAAGUGAAAUCCCCGGGCUCAACCUGGGAACUGCUUUCAAAACUGCUGAGCUAGAGUACGGUAGAGGGUGGUGGAAUUUCCUGUGUAGCGGUGAAAUGCGUAGAUAUAGGAAGGAACACCAGUGGCGAAGGCGACCACCUGGACUGAUACUGACACUGAGGUGCGAAAGCGUGGGGAGCAAACAGGAUUAGAUACCCUGGUAGUCCACGCCGUAAACGAUGUCAACUAGCCGUUGGGAGUCUUGAACUCUUAGUGGCGCAGCUAACGCAUUAAGUUGACCGCCUGGGGAGUACGGCCGCAAGGUUAAAACUCAAAUGAAUUGACGGGGCCCGCACAAGCGGUGGAGCAUGUGGUUUAUUCGAAGCAACGCGAAGAACCUUACCUGGG
Molecule: ribosomal RNA, 941 nt
Filed under: uncultured bacterium
Lineage: Bacteria
Description: bacterial SSU rRNA
Rfam family: Bacterial small subunit ribosomal RNA
Source: RNAcentral